This 162-nucleotide small RNA is filed under the name Falsiroseomonas stagni DSM 19981. Its description in RNAcentral is "caulobacter sRNA CC2171". It matches the Rfam family "caulobacter sRNA CC2171". The record is from Rfam by way of RNAcentral. Lineage: Bacteria; Pseudomonadati; Pseudomonadota; Alphaproteobacteria; Acetobacterales; Roseomonadaceae.
CAACAAACGAAAGGAGGUGAUCCAGUGUCUCAUUGCCCCAAGGCGUCCACCGUGACUGCAAGCUGGAUCAUCGCCGGCGCCACCGCGUAGGCGAGUCACCACAUCGCAGCAGCCGGUCAGCCGGCAGCAAUGGAAGGCCUCGGGGGGAAACCCCCGGGGCCU